Molecule: long non-coding RNA, 2523 nt
Organism: Pipistrellus kuhlii (Kuhl's pipistrelle)
Lineage: Eukaryota; Metazoa; Chordata; Mammalia; Chiroptera; Vespertilionidae
Exons: 3
Source: RefSeq, a predicted model, not a curated record
AAGAGCCCCAGACUCAGGAGAUGGCUGUAUUGACGCUUUGGGGAGUACAAGGGACAAAUGUCAACACUGCUUCAAUGUGACUCCAGGGGAUCUACACCUCUGGAAACUUUUAGAAUUGUCAUUUUUGUUUUUGGUUUCUUGGAACACAUCUAUUUUCUUUACCUUUUGAACCCUCAUGGCAUGACACCAAAGGAAUGAAAAUUGGUACAAACUUCAACAAUGAGGAGAAUGUGAAGAAGGUUUGCAGAGAAUAAACAAUGGUGUGAUACAUGGAUUACAGGAAGCAGGAGGAGAACUGAGGGCUGAUGAAGUGAGGUACACAUUGGAAGGUGCUGCGAAAAACAGACACACUGCUGGCGGUUGUCCAGGGCGAUUUUUCUUGAAUUCUGGAAGGGCACAGCACUUUAAUAGUGGACAAGCGGGAGGUACAGACUUAGAGGAAACCCCCUUAUUUCUUCAACCAGAGGUCAUGGCGGAAGGAUUGUUCCUCUCUGAAGAAAUUGAACAAGCUGUUGUUGGCUUGGGAGCUAAUGCCACAUCUGGGUCCAUGUCUACUCAGCCUGAAAUGGAGCCCAAUAGUCAGCCAUGUAUGUUGGUUUUCAUUGAAUUUAUGGUCAGUUUUGCCAAUCCCCCCAGUGAGUAAGUAUAUGAGAGAAUUGGGAUAUAUGAAAAAGAAACACUGUGAAGUAGAGAAAUGACCAAAAGGAAUAUAAGAUAUACUUCUGGGUAAAUAAGGAGCUUGAAUAAAAUGAAUUUGUAUCCUCUAGAGAUAUUGAUUAAGACUACAGAAAUUAAAUAAGAGGAAAAAAUCUAAUUAAAAAGUUGGAGGAUAAAAUAGAGGAAAAAUAAAAUAAAAAGAUAUAUAUGAAAUGAUGAAUAAAAAAACAAACAAACACUUAGAAUAAUCCAGAAUGGCCCAGUAGCUCAGUUAAUUAAAGGUUGUGAGUUUGAUCCCCAGCAAGGCUAGAAGCAACAAAUGAAUGCAUAAAAUGACUUUCCACUAGGAUUGUAUAACUAGCAAAAGUAAUUGUGAAUUUUAAAGGCAGAGUAAAAGAUAUUUGAAGACAGGUGAGAUGUUUACUUUUAAACGUUUAAAAAUAAUUAAUUUUUUUUUCAUCUAUAGUUGAUCUACAAUAUUAUAUUAGUUUCAGGUCUACACAUUUUUUUAAGAAGGUUAUUUGAGAACACACUCCUGCAAGAUGAGGGUGUAAAAAGCAAGCUAGAGGGAGAUGUAGGAUCUGGAGGCAGGAUCUCCAACCUCGAACAGUAGUGAAGAGAGAUACAGAUUAUAGUUUUGCUGCAGUGAGAGACCAGUACAGAUUUUACAGCCAAAGGAAACACUAAUUUGUAUCCUACACCAUCAAUGAAGAUAUCAUAAGCACAGAUAAGUUAGUUCAGUUGACUGGGAUCACACAGUGCUAAGUAUAGUAAGUUAGCGACUGGGACACAGCCAGGCUGACUUCCCAGCCUGAACUCUUACUCCUACCAUGAUGUUGUUUUUUUCUCAUAACUUAUCUUAAAGUGAUGAAAGGUUUCCACUGGGAAAAUGAAAACAGCAGUAUGUUCUAUGUGUGCAAAACCCUCAUUUAUUAGAGUCAGAUGUGCAAAAAAAGAAAGAAAAAAAAAAAGAAGGCUAUGUAAAAUCAUGAAAUUAACAAAUAACUUAAGAGAAAUCAAGAAAUAGUUUCUAAAGAAAUGAAGGUAACCACCAGGAGAGAAAAUUUAGACUGAAAGAUGAUUUAGUUGAGGGAGAGGGCAUGGGCAGGAGGAAGAGGAAGGCGAGAGAUAGCUUCUUUGCAUGUUAAGUCUUCCUCACCUUUUAAAAAAUUAAAUUACGGGAAGGUAUUACUUUGAAAAAAAAUUUAAUGCUAUUCCUGUGUACUCUUAAAAUGGCGAAUAGAGCUUAUUUGGAAGAUAAACCACAUGAGGAAUUAUAACAACAUGCAAAGGCAUGGAAGGGAAAAAGUUCAUGGCUUGGUGGAGAACAGUCUGGUUAGAUGACUUGGUGGUUGGGGGUUGGCAGGAGUCACUGGAGAUGACUGAAACAGUGGACCAGGGCAAAGCUGUGGAAAGCAUAGAAUGCCAUGUUAAGAAGUUUGGAAUUUCCUUUGUUGGCCAUGGGAAACCAUGAAAGAUUUUGAGCAGCGUGGUGCUGUCUGUGUUUUAGAAGGCUCUUCCUUAUGGCAGUUUGGAGCAAGGGUGCAAGUGUGUCUGGAAUUAAAAAAAAAUCUUCCUGACACUUUAGCUGUCUCUCUGAAUGGUGGUCUGUUGUCCCACACCCUUCUGUUGGCUGGGGUGGCCCCUGGCCAGCAACACACUGAUGUGGUGGCAAUGAGUGGGCCACGUGGCAUCAGCCUUCUCUGCCUUAUUUGAGAGCCACUAGGAGCCCACACCUGGGCGGUGUCUCAUUUCAGCUUUUUAGACCUUACUAUAAACUAUUUUUUGGUCAUUUUUCAAGACAUGUUUUAGCUUUUAGUACAGGAUUUUUACCAACUUCUCCCCACCCCCUUCCACACCCUUUAA